Nomascus leucogenys (northern white-cheeked gibbon) is the source of this 107-nucleotide small nuclear RNA. The record is from Ensembl. NCBI's taxonomy places the organism in Eukaryota, Metazoa, Chordata, Mammalia, Primates, Hylobatidae.
GCCCUCACUUCAGCAGCACAUAUACUAAAAUUGGAAAGAUACAGACAAGAUUAUCAUGGUCCCUGUGCGAGGAUGACGUGCAAAUUUGUGAAGCAUUCCAUAUUUUU